RNAcentral lists this ribosomal RNA (253 nucleotides) under uncultured bacterium. RNAcentral's name for it is "partial 16S ribosomal RNA". It matches the Rfam family "Bacterial small subunit ribosomal RNA", at positions 524 to 776 of the family's 1533-position model. The record is from RNAcentral.
UACGAAGGGUGCAAGCGUUAUCCGGAUUCAUUGGGUUUAAAGGGUGCGUAGGUGGGGCGAUAAGUCAGUGGUGAAAUCCUGCGGCUUAACCGGGGAACUGCGUCUGAUACUGGAUGGCUUGAGUUCGGGAGAGGGAUGCGGAAUUCCAGGUGUAGCGGUGAAAUGCGUAGAUAUCUGGAGGAACACCGGUGGCGAAGGCGGCAUCCUGGACCAAUACUGACGCUGAGGAGCGAAAGCCAGGGGAGCAAACGGG